This 424-nucleotide ribosomal RNA is filed under the name uncultured bacterium. RNAcentral describes it as "bacterial SSU rRNA". It matches the Rfam family "Bacterial small subunit ribosomal RNA", at positions 355 to 796 of the family's 1533-position model. The record is from RNAcentral.
UGGGGAAUAUUGGACAAUGGGCGCAAGCCUGAUCCAGCCAUGCCGCGUGGGUGAUGAAGGCCCUAGGGUUGUAAAGCCCUUUCGGCGGGGAAGAUAAUGACGGUACCCGCAGAAGAAGCCCCGGCUAACUUCGUGCCAGCAGCCGCGGUAAUACGAAGGGGGCUAGCGUUGCUCGGAAUUACUGGGCGUAAAGCGCACGUAGGCGGCUUCUUAAGUCGGUGGUGAAAUCCUGGAGCUCAACUCCAGAACUGCCUUCGAUACUGGGAAGCUCGAGUCCGGGAGAGGUGAGUGGAACUGCGAGUGUAGAGGUGAAAUUCGUAGAUAUUCGCAAGAACACCAGUGGCGAAGGCGGCUCACUGGCCCGGUACUGACGCUGAGGUGCGAAAGCGUGGGGAGCAAACAGGAUUAGAUACCCCUGUAGUCC